GGGCGAAUGGUUUAGUGGUAUAAUACUCCCUUAGCAUGUUCUCUGUCAAGAGAUGUCAUUCUGGGAGUGGUCCAGGGUUCGAUUCCCUGUUCGUCCA
RNAcentral lists this transfer RNA (97 nucleotides) under Fusarium oxysporum. RNAcentral's name for it is "tRNA-Ala". It matches the Rfam family "tRNA". Rfam says of the family: Transfer RNA (tRNA) molecules are approximately 80 nucleotides in length. Lineage: Eukaryota; Fungi; Ascomycota; Sordariomycetes; Hypocreales; Nectriaceae. The record is from RNAcentral.